UACGUAGGGUCCGAGCGUUGUCCGGAAUUACUGGGCGUAAAGAGCUCGUAGGUGGUUUGUCGCGUUGUUCGUGAAAACUCACAGCUUAACUGUGGGCGUGCGGGCGAUACGGGCAGACUUGAGUACUGCAGGGGAGACUGGAAUUCCUGGUGUAGCGGUGGAAAUGCGCAGAUAUCAGGAGGAACAGCCGGUGGCGAAGGCGGGUCUCUGGGCAGUUGCUGACACUGAGGCGCGACA
This 237-nucleotide ribosomal RNA is filed under the name uncultured bacterium. Its description in RNAcentral is "partial 16S ribosomal RNA". It matches the Rfam family "Bacterial small subunit ribosomal RNA", at positions 524 to 758 of the family's 1533-position model. The record is from RNAcentral.